Molecule: long non-coding RNA, 798 nt
Filed under: Sus scrofa (pig)
Lineage: Eukaryota; Metazoa; Chordata; Mammalia; Artiodactyla; Suidae
Description: lncRNA (ENSSSCG00065037164.1, ENSSSCG00070006327.1)
Source: RNAcentral
GGCAAUGGUGGCAGACAGGGAGCCGAUUCCAGGAAAGAAGGGUGCUCGGAGCAAACACGAGAGUGCCUUUAUGAGAGGUUACUGAGGGGUUAAAUGAGAAGAUGCAGAAGAGCCUGGCCCGGUGCCAGAUACACACUGACCCUCUUCCCAGAUCCCAGCAUGUCUCACACCAGAUCAAGCUGGACUGAGUUCCCUCUCCACUACACAAAGGGAAUUUGGAGUAACUUGCAAUGUCUUGCAUUACUGUGAAAACGGCAACUAACUCAUUUUUCUGAAAGUCUAAAGAAAUUUCAAGUGGGAAACUUGUGCCAUCUGGAAAUGACAGGAAUUCAGUGGAGCUCAACUAAGUAAAAUGAAAAGAGGAGGGAAUCGAAAUGUCUGGAGGUAUUAAAAUUAUGCCCUGGAGUUCCCGUCGUGGCCCAGUGGUUAACGAAUCCAACUAGGAACCAUGAGGUUGUGGGUUCGAUCCCUGCCCUUGCUCAGUGGGUUAAUGAUCCAGCAUUGCCGUGAGCUGUGGUGUAGGUCACAGACGUGGCUCGGAUCCCACGUUGCUGUGGCUCUGGAGUAGGCUGGCAGCUACAGCUCCGAUUCGACCCCUAGCCACAGAAGCGGCCCAAGAAAUGGCAAAAAGACAAAGAAAGAAAAAAUCAUGUCCUGCUUUCACAUACAGUGGAAUAUUACUCAGCCAUAAAAAGAAUGAAAUACUGCCAGCAUUUGUAGCAACAUGGGUGGACCUAGAGAUUAUCAUACUAAGUGAAGUAAGUUAGAAAGAGAAAGACAAAUACCAUGUGAUAUCAC